Carcharodon carcharias (great white shark) is the source of this 236-nucleotide small nucleolar RNA. RefSeq annotates it as small nucleolar RNA SNORD17. The transcript has a single exon. Lineage: Eukaryota; Metazoa; Chordata; Chondrichthyes; Lamniformes; Lamnidae. The record is from RefSeq and is a predicted model, not a curated record.
GUGAAAUGAUGAAUAAGUUUAUCCAUUCGCCGAGUGCCGCUAGCCACUUCUUUCACAGCACGCUGAGUCUGUUUAGGCUCUGGGUGAAUUGCAUUCGUCUUGUACCAUGUGACUUAUUGGCGUUCUGCUGAGAAGUUAUUGGUCCCUGAUUGGGUGUAUGUGAAUGAGAUGGUUUAGCAGAGUUGGGACCCUUUUGGGAUCCAACUCUACAAAGAUGAAUGAUGCAGUCUGAUCAC